GUCGUACGCUUCUUUUUCCCCGGAGCUUGCUCCACCGGAAAAAGAAGAGUGGCGAACGGGUGAGUAACACGUGGGUAACCUGCCCAUCAGAAGGGGAUAACACUUGGAAACAGGUGCUAAUACCGUAUAACAAUCGAAACCGCAUGGUUUUGAUUUGAAAGGCGCUUUCGGGUGUCGCUGAUGGAUGGACCCGCGGUGCAUUAGCUAGUUGGUGAGGUAACGGCUCACCAAGGCCACGAUGCAUAGCCGACCUGAGAGGGUGAUCGGCCACAUUGGGACUGAGACACGGCCCAAACUCCUACGGGAGGCAGCAGUAGGGAAUCUUCGGCAAUGGACGAAAGUCUGACCGAGCAACGCCGCGUGAGUGAAGAAGGUUUUCGGAUCGUAAAACUCUGUUGUUAGAGAAGAACAAGGAUGAGAGUAACUGUUCAUCCCUUGACGGUAUCUAACCAGAAAGCCACGGCUAACUACGUGCCAGCAGCCGCGGUAAUACGUAGGUGGCAAGCGUUGUCCGGAUUUAUUGGGCGUAAAGCGAGCGCAGGCGGUUUCUUAAGUCUGAUGUGAAAGCCCCCGGCUCAACCGGGGAGGGUCAUUGGAAACUGGGAGACUUGAGUGCAGAAGAGGAGAGUGGAAUUCCAUGUGUAGCGGUGAAAUGCGUAGAUAUAUGGAGGAACACCAGUGGCGAAGGCGGCUCUCUGGUCUGUAACUGACGCUGAGGCUCGAAAGCGUGGGGAGCAAACAGGAUUAGAUACCCUGGUAGUCCACGCCGUAAACGAUGAGUGCUAAGUGUUGGAGGGUUUCCGCCCUUCAGUGCUGCAGCUAACGCAUUAAGCACUCCGCCUGGGGAGUACGACCGCAAGGUUGAAACUCAAAGGAAUUGACGGGGGCCCGCACAAGCGGUGGAGCAUGUGGUUUAAUUCGAAGCAACGCGAAGAACCUUACCAGGUCUUGACAUCCUUUGACCACUCUAGAGAUAGAGCUUCCCCUUCGGGGGCAAAGUGACAGGUGGUGCAUGGUUGUCGUCAGCUCGUGUCGUGAGAUGUUGGGUUAAGUCCCGCAACGAGCGCAACCCUUAUUGUUAGUUGCCAUCAUUUAGUUGGGCACUCUAGCAAGACUGCCGGUGACAAACCGGAGGAAGGUGGGGAUGACGUCAAAUCAUCAUGCCCCUUAUGACCUGGGCUACACACGUGCUACAAUGGGAAGUACAACGAGUCGCGAAGUCGCGAGGCUAAGCUAAUCUCUUAAAGCUUCUCUCAGUUCGGAUUGUAGGCUGCAACUCGCCUACAUGAAGCCGGAAUCGCUAGUAAUCGCGGAUCAGCACGCCGCGGUGAAUACGUUCCCGGGCCUUGUACACACCGCCCGUCACACCACGAGAGUUUGUAACACCCGAAGUCGGUGAGGU
RNAcentral lists this ribosomal RNA (1402 nucleotides) under Enterococcus durans. RNAcentral describes it as "bacterial SSU rRNA". It matches the Rfam family "Bacterial small subunit ribosomal RNA", at positions 61 to 1436 of the family's 1533-position model. Lineage: Bacteria; Bacillati; Bacillota; Bacilli; Lactobacillales; Enterococcaceae. The record is from RNAcentral.